RNAcentral lists this long non-coding RNA (216 nucleotides) under Elaeis guineensis (African oil palm). RNAcentral's name for it is "long non-coding RNA (EGUI_LNC027699)". Lineage: Eukaryota; Viridiplantae; Streptophyta; Magnoliopsida; Arecales; Arecaceae. The record is from RNAcentral.
GCAGUGUCAUGAUGGUAAAAAUUCUUAAAGCUUAAAAUAUCAGGACCUACGCUACCAACCUUUUGUCAUCUCCUCUUUUUGGCUUAGAUAUUGAUGGCACACCAAAGUAUUUGCAUGAAUUAGCUAGGGACCAUGCAUCAUUCUUUCCCUUAGCAGAGAAUCCAAUGACCAACAUUAGGUUUCCACUAAGCUUCUAUUUUAUCCAUUUUUAUCCAU